RNAcentral lists this ribosomal RNA (388 nucleotides) under uncultured bacterium. RNAcentral describes it as "bacterial SSU rRNA". It matches the Rfam family "Bacterial small subunit ribosomal RNA", at positions 47 to 431 of the family's 1533-position model. The record is from RNAcentral.
CCUAACACAUGCAAGUCGAACGGUAACAGGAAGAAGCUUGCUUCUUUGCUGACGAGUGGCGGACGGGUGAGUAAUGUCUGGGAAACUGCCUGAUGGAGGGGGAUAACUACUGGAAACGGUAGCUAAUACCGCAUAACGUCGCAAGACCAAAGAGGGGGACCUUCGGGCCUCUUGCCAUCGGAUGUGCCCAGAUGGGAUUAGCUAGUAGGUGGGGUAACGGCUCACCUAGGCGACGAUCCCUAGCUGGUCUGAGAGGAUGACCAGCCACACUGGAACUGAGACACGGUCCAGACUCCUACGGGAGGCAGCAGUGGGGAAUAUUGCACAAUGGGCGCAAGCCUGAUGCAGCCAUGCCGCGUGUAUGAAGAAGGCCUUCGGGUUGUAAAGA